Long non-coding RNA from Etheostoma spectabile (orangethroat darter), 143 nucleotides. RefSeq lists it as uncharacterized. The transcript is spliced from 4 exons. Lineage: Eukaryota; Metazoa; Chordata; Actinopteri; Perciformes; Percidae. The record is from RefSeq and is a predicted model, not a curated record.
UGAAACGAUUGCUAUAUUGAUGUAGUUUUUAGUAAGGCCUCUGCCCGGGUCUGAUAUUUCCUGCAAAGUCCACAAAAUGAUUUGCGGCAGGUAGAUGGCACCACAUUAACACAUUCUACAGGGUCAUUAGUUGUGACCCAGGG